Molecule: non-coding RNA, 90 nt
Organism: Mycena metata
Lineage: Eukaryota; Fungi; Basidiomycota; Agaricomycetes; Agaricales; Mycenaceae
Source: the annotation of a GenBank genome assembly
CCGACUUUAGCUCAGUUGGAAGAGCAUCAGACUGUAAUUGGAUAACGUAAUCUCAUCUGGGUGUCGCCUGUUCGAACCAGGCAAGUCGGA